UACGUAGGGUGCAAGCGUUGGUCCGGAAUUAUUGGGCGUAAAGAGCUCGUAGGCGGCCUGUCGCGUCGACUGUGAAAACCCAGGGCUCAACCCUGGGCCCUGCAGUCGAAUACGGGCAGGCUAGAGUGCAGUAGGGGAGACUGGAAUUCCUGGUGUAGCGGUGAAAUGCGCAGAUAUAGGAGGAACACCGGUGGCGAAGGCGGGUCUCUGGGCUGUAACUGACGCUGAGGAGCGAAAGCGUGGGGAGCGAACAGG
Molecule: ribosomal RNA, 255 nt
Filed under: uncultured bacterium
Lineage: Bacteria
Description: partial 16S ribosomal RNA
Rfam family: Bacterial small subunit ribosomal RNA
Source: RNAcentral